Non-coding RNA from Triticum urartu, 134 nucleotides. Lineage: Eukaryota; Viridiplantae; Streptophyta; Magnoliopsida; Poales; Poaceae. The record is from Rfam.
AAAAUACUUCCUCGUCCCAAAAUUCUUGUUUUAGAUUUGUUUAAAUAUAAAUGUAUCUAGUCAUGGUUUAAUGUUAGAUACAUCCGUAUCUAGACGAAUGUUAGACAAGAAUUUUGGGACAGAGAUGGUAGAAG